AAAGUCGUAACAAGGUUUCCGUAGGUGAACCUGCGGAAGGAUCAUUAACAAAUGCAGCUUGCUGCUUUAAUGUAUUACACCUGUGAACUAUUGCCUUCGGGCCACACAAACAUAAUGUAACGAAUGUAACAUAUUAUAACAAAAUAUAACUUUCAACAACGGAUCUCUUGGCUCUC
This 176-nucleotide unclassified non-coding RNA is filed under the name Basidiomycota sp. Its description in RNAcentral is "partial contains small subunit ribosomal RNA, internal transcribed spacer 1, and 5.8S ribosomal RNA". The stretch from base 1 to 47 matches the Rfam family "Eukaryotic small subunit ribosomal RNA", at positions 1785 to 1831 of the family's 1831-position model. The record is from RNAcentral. Lineage: Eukaryota; Fungi; Basidiomycota.